UACGAAGGGGGCUAGCGUUGCUCGGAAUCACUGGGCGUAAAGCGCACGUAGGCGGACUCUUAAGUCGGUGGUGAAAUCCUGGAGCUCAACUCCAGAACUGCCUUCGAUACUGAGAGUCUCAGAGUCCGGGAGAGGUAAGUGGAACUCCGAGUGUAGAGGUGAAAUUCGUAGAUAUUCGGAAGAACACCAGUGGCGAAGGCGGCUCACUGGCCCGGUACUGACGCUGAGGUGCGAAAGCGUGGGGAGCAAACAGG
Molecule: ribosomal RNA, 254 nt
Filed under: uncultured bacterium
Lineage: Bacteria
Description: partial 16S ribosomal RNA
Rfam family: Bacterial small subunit ribosomal RNA
Source: RNAcentral